RNAcentral lists this transfer RNA (83 nucleotides) under SAR202 cluster bacterium. RNAcentral describes it as "tRNA-Trp". It matches the Rfam family "tRNA". Rfam says of the family: Transfer RNA (tRNA) molecules are approximately 80 nucleotides in length. The record is from RNAcentral. Lineage: Bacteria; Bacillati; Chloroflexota; Dehalococcoidia.
AGGGGUGUAGCUCAGUUGGUAGAGCGAAGGUCGAAGGUCUCCAAAACCUUAGGUCGUGGGUUCGAUCCCUGCCACCCCUGCCA